UUAAUUUCCACCCUCUAGGGUUUUUUUUUUAAUUCAGUUUUCGAUGCCUAAUUCCACCCUGCUUCUUUCUGACAUACAUUUACACAUUGUUUCAGAGGAUGCGAUGUGCUUAUUUUAGAUACUGGAUUGGGAAGUGCAGAGAAUCAAGCAAGGGUCAAGGAGUUGCUUCAUGUGGAGGAAUCAAAACUAGAGGAGGAUGAGGGAAAUACCACUCCAGCAGUGAGAUGGGUUCGAGAUGAUAAAUAUGAUUGCAUCCGAUUAAAGCAUUGCAAGGUUGUGACAAAAAUUGAUUGGCAUCGGAAAGGAGACUAUUUCACUACUGUCGUUCCUAGUGAUAUCCUAAUUAUGAAUUUUAGUUGUACUUAUUUUUAGUCAUUCCUAGUGCCUAUUUUAUAUCUCAGUUUUGUUUCUUUCUUUUUUCUAAUACACACUGACAAAUUGGAAAUAUAUAAAAAUCAUGACAUUAUACCUAGUUACCUAGCCUUUGAGGCUGGAAUCAGGAUGAAACCUAAAGUGCCCUGAAAAGUUUAGGCAUACCAAAUUCUCUCAGUUUAAUGACAGAGGUGUUUUAGAUUGUAAAUUUCAUCCGAGGCAGCCAUGGCUAUUCACAGCUGGAGCAGAUUCUGUCAUUAAACUGUAUUGCCACUAAUGAUAGAUUCUCCAGGAAACUUUGAAGAAUCUCCUCGAGUCAAGAUACGUGAGUACUUGCUGAUCCUACAUGACUACGGUAGCAAGUUCAUGUUCUUUGCUGAAGCUGCAACCUAUUUAUGAGGUCGUUCUAUAUGGCACCGGCACCUAGAGCAAGUUCGUGUUCUUUGCUAAAAUUGCAAUCUAUUUACAAGGUCUUUAGAUAGAUGUGGAUAUUGGUUCUUCGACAGUGGCUAAUGGAGUGUUAGGGCUCGUCUUUGGUGUAAUCACAUCCUUGGUGGUUGAUA
Long non-coding RNA from Zingiber officinale, 935 nucleotides. RefSeq lists it as uncharacterized. NCBI's taxonomy places the organism in Eukaryota, Viridiplantae, Streptophyta, Magnoliopsida, Zingiberales, Zingiberaceae. The record is from RefSeq and is a predicted model, not a curated record. The transcript has 5 exons.